UACAGAGGUCCCGAGCGUUGUUCGGAUUCAUUGGGCGUAAAGGGUGCGUAGGCGGCGCGGUAAGUCGGGUGUGAAAUCUCGGAGCUUAACUCCGAAACUGCAUUCGAUACUGCCGUGCUUGAGGACUGGAGAGGAGACUGGAAUUUACGGUGUAGCGGUGAAAUGCGUAGAUAUCGUAAGGAAGACCAGUGGCGAAGGCGGGUCUCUGGACAGUUCCUGACGCUGAGGCACGAAGGCCAGGGGAGCAAACGGG
RNAcentral lists this ribosomal RNA (253 nucleotides) under uncultured bacterium. Its description in RNAcentral is "partial 16S ribosomal RNA". It matches the Rfam family "Bacterial small subunit ribosomal RNA", at positions 524 to 776 of the family's 1533-position model. The record is from RNAcentral.